This is a long non-coding RNA of Microplitis demolitor, 614 nucleotides long. RefSeq lists it as uncharacterized. The record is from RefSeq and is a predicted model, not a curated record. The transcript is spliced from 4 exons. Lineage: Eukaryota; Metazoa; Arthropoda; Insecta; Hymenoptera; Braconidae.
UUUACAACUCGACAAGUAAUUGCUUGAACUAAACUAUAUUAAUGAAUAUGGAUUUAUUCGUAUCUACGAUUAUGUACAGGUAUACGAGCAACAAUACUGACAGGAGUCCAAGCAAUAGAUUUCGAAAAUAUACAAGUAUCACCACCAGUUGGUUUUAUAUGGUCAGACACCGGAAUGAUUCAUUGUGGUCAAAAUGUCUGGAUUACUGUUCAAGAUUAUAACAAUGCAAAAGCCGCAGCAGGGACUUAUGCAAUCUUUGUAAAAAAUAUAGCAGUAGAUAUAUUCACUCGAGACGUGUUAAAGAACAGUAGUAUAACAAGUAAAAGCAGCAAUAGAACCAAAGGCCCUGUAAAGCCAAAACUUGAUCCGGUUAAAAUGCUUGCCGUAAGAGAUAUUUAUAGACAUUAUCUGAAAGGGCAUAGGCAAUUGUCGAAAAAAACAAAUCAAUGCGAAGAUUAACGAUUAUGUAGAAUAUAUUCGGGGAAAAAUUUCAGAUUUAGAACGACCGAACAAAAUACUAAUCAAAAAAACUGAGGAAAAGCUUGAUAAAAUAGUGAAAGAGGCUAAUGAAUCAAUAAAAAAAGAAAAAGGCACGAAACUGAUAGAAGUUUCUA